UGGGAUCCCGGGUAUAGACAUGGCACCGCUUGGCACACCAUGCUGUGGUUGCAUGAUCAAGCCCAAAGGGAAUAGGAUAAAGAAGUAUAUUCUGCCUACUGGAAAGGAUGGCAAAGGUACUCCAUUACAACAUUAAGAGGGGAAAUCUUUGCCAUGUGUGCAGUCUUGGAGGGAAAACGCUUAGUCUCUCACCAUUGAGCAUCAUAUUAACUGAAUUCUUAUAAAUCAAGACGAGGUAGUGGGCAUGGUCCUGAGAAGAAAACAAUCAAAUAGAUGGUCAGUAUCCUUGGCAUCUGAUUCUGUGUUGAUCAUGAAACAAAAAUGUUCAAUAUGCACUUGCUACAAAGCUUACGACUCAGUUAAGGUAUAAAUUCAACAAAUGAAUAUAAAUAACAACCAGAUGUGGAACAACAA
RNAcentral lists this long non-coding RNA (414 nucleotides) under Equus caballus (horse). RNAcentral's name for it is "lncRNA (ENSECAG00000049675.1)". The record is from RNAcentral. Lineage: Eukaryota; Metazoa; Chordata; Mammalia; Perissodactyla; Equidae.